ACUGGUAGUAUGUCUGUACACGUUGUUGUCGAUUUUUACAUUUUUACUGUUUUCGACCUAUGAGAAAAUUUUUUGUGGAUUGGAGAUUUUGUGGUCUCGUGUAGUUUGCUUUCCGGAAAAUAAGCUUUUUGGAAUCGGGAAUUUUCGCAGCCUUCAUCUUGGGACUUUAGACGUUGUGUCAGUAUUUAACAAUUUUGAUUUCAUCGGGCUAAUUGAACAGUUUGACUUCUUUUGUUGGCCGCUGAGUUAACAUCCGAAUUCAAAAUGUCUAGCCGAGAAGGUGGUAAAAAGAAGCCGCUGAAGCAACCUAAGAAGGACGCAAAAGAACUUGACGAAGACGAUCUGGCUUUCAAGCAAAAGCAGAAGGAGCAAGAAAAAGCUAUGAAAGAAGCUGCCUCGAAGGCGGCACAAAAAGGACCCCUCUCUGGUGGGGGCAUAAAAAAGAGCGGGAAGUAAUGUGCUGGGAUUUCUUGUUUCCCUGAGCUUGAACGGAAAUAUCGGCAACCACCAAAUUUUUUUGGGACCGCAAAAACGCGUUUUGCUAUUUCACUGUUUAGCGGCAAUCGCAGAUCAUCUGAUUUGUGUCCAAAUGCUGCACACAAUGCCAUGUUUUCCACUAUUCUGGUACCAUUUUUAUUGCGUAACGAAGGUUUUACUGCUCUACCACACUGGACAGCAUCCUCGUCACGGUAAAAAAGGGUUGAUAGACGCGCUAAUAAAGCUUUGCUGUAACUGA
This is a long non-coding RNA of Paramacrobiotus metropolitanus, 736 nucleotides long. RefSeq lists it as uncharacterized. The transcript has 4 exons. The record is from RefSeq and is a predicted model, not a curated record. NCBI's taxonomy places the organism in Eukaryota, Metazoa, Tardigrada, Eutardigrada, Parachela, Macrobiotidae.